This 253-nucleotide ribosomal RNA is filed under the name uncultured bacterium. Its description in RNAcentral is "partial 16S ribosomal RNA". It matches the Rfam family "Bacterial small subunit ribosomal RNA", at positions 524 to 776 of the family's 1533-position model. The record is from RNAcentral.
UACGGAGGGUGCAAGCGUUAAUCGGAAUUAUUGGGCGUAAAGAGCUCGUAGGCGGUUUGUUGCGUCGGCUGUGAAAUCCCGAGGCUCAACCUCGGGUCUGCAGUCGAUACGAGCAAACUAGAGUGUUGCAGGGGAGACUGGAAUUCCUGGUGUAGCGGUGAAAUGCGCAGAUAUCAGGAGGAACACCGGUGGCGAAGGCGGGUCUCUGGGCAACAACUGACGCUGAGGAGCGAAAGCGUGGGGAGCGAACAGG